CGCCUUUUGAUAAAAUAUAAAAGGUCCAGCCUGCCCAGUGACAAAGUUAAACGGCCGCGGUACCCUAACCGUGCAAAGGUAGCGCAAUCACUUGUUCUUUAAAUAAGGACUAGUAUGAACGGCACCACGAGGAUUAUACUGUCUCCCCCCUUCAAUCAGUGAAACUGAUCCCCCCGUGAAGAAGCGGGAAUAAACCUAUAAGACGAGAAGACCCUGUGGAGCUUUAAACCUACACCACCCAUCUCAAAAUACGCCAUAACAAACAAAUGGGCUUACGUACUAGUUUUAGGUUGGGGCGACCACGGAGUAAAACUAAACCUCCGCGAUGAAAAGACUUUACUUUCUAAUCCAAGAGCAACAUCUCUAAGAAUCAACAAACUGACAUAAUUGACCCAAACACUUUGAUCAACGAACCAAGUUACCCCAGGGAUAACAGCGCAAUCCAUUUCAAGAGCCCCUAUCGACAAAUGGGUUUACGACCUCGAUGUUGGAUCAGGGUAUCCCAGUGGUGCAGCCGCUACUAAAGGUUCGUUUGUUCAACGAUUAAAACCCU
Molecule: ribosomal RNA, 553 nt
Filed under: Chiasmocleis carvalhoi (central humming frog)
Lineage: Eukaryota; Metazoa; Chordata; Amphibia; Anura; Microhylidae
Description: partial 16S ribosomal RNA
Rfam family: Bacterial large subunit ribosomal RNA
Source: RNAcentral